UACGGAGGAUGCAAGCGUUAUCCGGAAUGAUUGGGCGUAAAGCGUCCGCAGGUGGCUGUGUAAGUCUGCUGUUAAAGAGUGAGGCUCAACCUCAUAAAAGCAGUGGAAACUACACGGCUAGAGUGCGUUCGGGGCGGAGGGAAUUCCUGGUGUAGCGGUGAAAUGCGUAGAUAUCAGGAGGAACACCGGUGGCGAAGGCGGCGACCUGGACCGAAGCUGACGCUGAGGCGCGAAAGCGUGGGGAGCGAUCCGG
This 253-nucleotide ribosomal RNA is filed under the name uncultured bacterium. Its description in RNAcentral is "partial 16S ribosomal RNA". It matches the Rfam family "Bacterial small subunit ribosomal RNA", at positions 524 to 776 of the family's 1533-position model. The record is from RNAcentral.